GUGACGUAAAUUCCCUGCUUUGGAAUUUUAUUCAGCCUCUUUUCUCCACUAAAUUUCCUCACUGAGCUAUCCUCAUCCUAUUACUCUUUAUAUCUUUGAUAAAAUAUUUAAAUAAAUAGGUUGUCGACGCCGUCCCCGCUUUGAAUACCCUGGAUCAGCCGGGGCUGGACCCCGGCACAGAACAGCAGGGUUUAUUCAGUACCGGUGCCCGCUCGGCAGAGUUACUUCCAAAGGCUGAGUGUCCUGGCUUUGUUCUGGGUGUCUUUUAUACACCAGAAACUUCUAGCUCAAAAAGCUCAGAUCCCUCCCCUGCAACAAGCAAGCAAGAUCACAGAAGCGAAAGUGGUGAUUGAUGAGCAGCAGCUGUUUAAAACAAGAUAAGGGAAGAGAAAGCAAAAGGUUGUUACUUUCAUUGGGGCCUUUGAUCUCUCUCCCGUCUCAGAAGACCCCUCUGAGGGCGUCUUGGGGCUGGCCUGGAGCAUACUUCUUGUCAGGCUUCUGGGACUCCAGAGGCGUUCAGAUGCCCUCUCGGCUGGCGAGGGUCCUGCUCCUAGCUCCACCCCAUGCAGUUCACACCACCACUGGACCCCCUCUGCCUUCCUCUGCCUGCUGUGCCCAUCUUGGGGCCUGCUACCUGGAUGGCCCACGUCACUGUGGGGCAGGCGGCUCCUGCAGGACCGCACCUGGGCCUGGAGAAGCCCGCUGGCCCCCCCAAGGGUGGCACCACCUUGCUGGUUCUGCUGCAGAGGUCUAGAUGCUGGGCACGCAGGGCCUUGGCACCCCCCGGCCACCAGGACCCUGGCAGCUCUUCUCAGUCUACAGCUGGGAGACAGGUCAGGGAGGACAGGAAUUACGGAGCCACCAGGGAGGCCCCGGGGACCCGGACAGCAGACCAGAGAAAAGACACCUCUCCGCAGCAUGCAACUCAGCCAGUCUGCAACAGCGGAACCAAUGGGAAGCCUCCAUCAACCAUACCCUUAGUUCCUCCAAUGGACUCUUCCGUGAUCAUCGCGGCCCCGCCCAUCUCCUCCUUUUUCCUAUAAAAGCAAGUUCUCCGUCCUUGUCCUGUGGGUUUGCUUACAGUCGGCACCAGAUUGCUUGUCUGAAGUCGAAAUUUCUGUUGCUGUUCCUGAGUAAACUUGCUUUUGCCAGUAAACUAUCUGGCUGUUAUAUUAUUGAAGUUGACAGUUACUAGGUCAAGACUGUUAGUCAUGAUGUGCAAAUAUUCUAUAGCUUUAUUAAUGUCCUGCCUUGUUCUAUUGAUGCUUUUGAACUGUGAUGUUGGAGGAGACUCUUGAGAGUCCUUUGGACAACAAGGAGAGCAAACCAGUCAACCCGAAAGGAAGUCAACCCUGAAUAUUCAUUGGAAGGACUGAUGCUGAAGCUGAAGCUCCAAUACUUUGGCCUCCUGAUGCGAAGAACUGACUCACUGGAAAAGACUCUGAUGCUGGGAAAAUUGACGGCAGGAGGAGAAGGGGAUGACAGAGGAUGAGAUGGUUGGAUGGAAUCACGGACUCCGUGGACAUGAGUUUGACAAGCUCCGGGAGAUAGUGAAGGACAGGGAUGCCUGGCGUGCUGCAGUCCAUGGGAUCACAGAGUCGGGCACGACUGAAUGAAUGAACUGAACUGAAAUUGUUCUAUCUUACACAGAGAAAAAUGUACUGAAAUCUACCAACUUGUCUUUUGCUUCUGUUGAUGUUUGCUUUAAAUUUUGUGGCUAUGUUAAUAGAUGCUUAUCCAUUUAGAAUCAUUUCAGCCUCUCGGAUUUACCCUUUGGUAAUUACGAAAAGCUCUCCACUAUAGUAAUGCAUGUUGUGUUGGAAUCACCUUUGUCUGACAUUAGAUGCUCUACCACCCUUCCUUUGUUUACUGUUUGCAGCGUAUGCCCGUGACUAGCUUCUGAUCCAACAUCUGCACCAGCCCAGGACGCUGCCCACCCUCCACCCCUACCCCCAACCGCCAAGUCUGGAGAUUACACUGGAGCGUCCUGGUGCAGCCAAGCGGGGCUGGGCCGCUAGGGGCGCCAGAGGGAGCGGUGGGGCUGGUGCCGGGGGAGCACACACUCCUUCCGCGGUAAUUCCGGUUGUGUUUGGCCUGUUCCGGGGUCUGCCGAGUUCGGGGCCUGAGGCCUUUGCGCAGGUUUGAGCGUUUCCGUCCGCAGUUGCUUAACGAGGCCGCGGUUGUGCUGGCCCGGAAGCCUCGGGCUCCACUCUCCCCGUGGAGGGGGGUCUCGUCAGCUCCGUGAGCUGGCCCGUUCCUUGGCGCUUCUGCAUGUUAGCGGUUUCCUGAGGCCGGGCCGGCCGCUUGGUGUUACAGCACCUGGGAGCUGAGAAUGUCUUUCCUACACGUAAAC
Long non-coding RNA from Bos taurus (domestic cattle), 2353 nucleotides. Lineage: Eukaryota; Metazoa; Chordata; Mammalia; Artiodactyla; Bovidae. The record is from Ensembl.